UACGGGGGGGGCAAGCGUUGUUCGGAAUUACUGGGCGUAAAGGGCUCGUAGGUGGCCAAUUAAGUCAGACGUGAAAUCCCCAGGCUCAACCUGGGAACUGCGUCUGAUACUGGUUGGCUUGAAUUCGGGAGAGGGAUGCAGAAUUCCAGGUGUAGCGGUGAAAUGCGUAGAUAUCAGGAGGAACACCGAUGGCGAAGGCAGGUCUCUGGGCCACUACUGACGCUGAGAAGCGAAAGCAUGGGGAGCGAACAGG
This 253-nucleotide ribosomal RNA is filed under the name uncultured bacterium. RNAcentral describes it as "partial 16S ribosomal RNA". It matches the Rfam family "Bacterial small subunit ribosomal RNA", at positions 524 to 776 of the family's 1533-position model. The record is from RNAcentral.